UAGAUUGAACUCUGGACCUCACACAUUUU
Molecule: non-coding RNA, 29 nt
Filed under: Rattus norvegicus (Norway rat)
Lineage: Eukaryota; Metazoa; Chordata; Mammalia; Rodentia; Muridae
Source: RNAcentral